Molecule: ribosomal RNA, 465 nt
Filed under: uncultured bacterium
Lineage: Bacteria
Description: partial 16S ribosomal RNA
Rfam family: Bacterial small subunit ribosomal RNA
Source: RNAcentral
CCUACGGGAUGCAGCAGUGGGGAAUAUUGCGCAAUGGGCGAAAGCCUGACGCAGCAACGCCGCGUGAGGGAUGAAGGUCUUCGGAUCGUAAACCUCUGUCAGCAGGGAAGAACGGUCACUUGGCUAAUCAGCAGUGACUUGACGGUACCUGCAAAGGAAGCACCGGCUAACUCCGCGCCAGCAGCCGCGGUAAUACGGAGGGUGCGAGCGUUAAUCGGAUUUACUGGGCGUAAAGCAAUCGUAGGCGGUAUGUCAAGUCAAGGGUGAACUCCCCGCGCUCAACGUGGGAACUGCCUUUGAAACUGGCAAACUGGAGUGUGUGAGAGGAUAGUGGAAUUCCAGGUGUAGGAGGGAAAUCCGUAGAUAUCUGGAGGAACAUCAGUGGCGAAGGCGACUAUCUGGCACAUAACUGACGCUGAGGAGCGAAAGCGUGGGUAGCAAACAGGAUUAGAUACCCUAGUAGUC